This 354-nucleotide ribosomal RNA is filed under the name uncultured bacterium. RNAcentral's name for it is "bacterial SSU rRNA". It matches the Rfam family "Bacterial small subunit ribosomal RNA", at positions 79 to 436 of the family's 1533-position model. The record is from RNAcentral.
CUUGCUUCUCUUGAGAGCGGCGGACGGGUGAGUAAUGCCUAGGAAUCUGCCUGGUAGUGGGGGAUAACGUCCGGAAACGGACGCUAAUACCGCAUACGUCCUACGGGAGAAAGCAGGGGACCUUCGGGCCUUGCGCUAUCAGAUGAGCCUAGGUCGGAUUAGCUAGUUGGUGGGGUAAUGGCUCACCAAGGCGACGAUCCGUAACUGGUCUGAGAGGAUGAUCAGUCACACUGGAACUGAGACACGGUCCAGACUCCUACGGGAGGCAGCAGUGGGGAAUAUUGGACAAUGGGCGAAAGCCUGAUCCAGCCAUGCCGCGUGUGUGAAGAAGGUCUUCGGAUUGUAAAGCACUUU